This is a long non-coding RNA of Thamnophis elegans (Western terrestrial garter snake), 972 nucleotides long. RefSeq lists it as uncharacterized. The transcript has 3 exons. The record is from RefSeq and is a predicted model, not a curated record. Lineage: Eukaryota; Metazoa; Chordata; Lepidosauria; Squamata; Natricidae.
UAAAAAAGCUGCUCAGUAGGUAUGAAGAAGAUUGCUUGGGUAUAGCUGCAUAAGAAGAGCCCUUUUGCUGAUUCGGAUCCCUUCCUUCAGAGGUUGUUUGUAGGUUAAUAUUUCAAAACAUGGCUUUAUCAGUGGACAUGGAGCCCACGAAUGGAGACAGAGCCGAUCAAGUGGCUGAUUUGAUUGUGUUGUGCUACCACAGAGGAUAGGGCGAAUUACACGGGAUGAUCCGUGGAGCAGCUACUCCCCCGCCCGGAAUCCAGCUUUUACCUUCUCGACCCUAAACUGAUGGGAGGAAGCGAUUCGCCCCCCACCCCAACCUAGGAACAAAUGACGCCCCCAGAAGAAACAAGCGGACCCAGGUACCCUCGGAGAAGCGGCCAGACCACGAGAAACGAGAAGGAGCGAACCGGCCAAGUCUCCGAUCAUGCGGGGCGGCGGUCCAUGUUCAAUAGCGAAUCCGCCCUUUUCCCGGCGGAACGACUCGGUUGGGUCCCCGGCUCUCGGAUACCGCCGUAGCCAGGGAGAGCAGGCUGCCUCCGAAAAGCAUCACGGAGUGAUGUUUUCCAAGCUGUGGCUUCGCCUUUGAUAUAUCAAGAGGUUGUUGCUGCUUAAGGAAACUACAAAUCCCAGCACGUCCUCAUGUCUUGGUUUCCCGGGAUGAAAUGUCUUAGAAAUCGAACAAGUUGAAAUAUAAGAUCCAUGAAGCCAUACGUCCUUUUCCGCUUCCUGCUUUACUUCGCUUUCCUGACUACGGAAACACAGAGGAGUCAAUACUCUUCCGCUGCGCGGUGCUGGAGUCAACUAGCUGAAGAGCCAAAAAGCGUUAGCGAUCAAGGCACUCCUGAUUGGCGGAACCAUGCAUAGCUGAGACCGCGGAGAUACAGCAAGGAGAAACCUAUGGAAAGUAAUGAAGAAAUGUGCAUAAAGGACAGGAUUUUGAGUAAAUAAAAUUAACUUUGGGAUUAUGAA